CUGCCUACGGGGGACAGCAGUGAGGAAUAUUGGUCAAUGGGAGAGAUCCUGAACCAGCCAAGCCGCGUGAGGGAAGACGGCCCUAUGGGUUGUAAACCUCUUUUGUCGGAGAACAAAACCCGGGACGUGUCCCGGACUGCGUGUAUCCGAAGAAAAAGCAUCGGCUAACUCCGUGCCAGCAGCCGCGGUAAUACGGAGGGUGCAAGCGUUAUCCGGAUUUAUUGGGUUUAAAGGGUGCGCAGGCGGAGGUGCAAGUCAGCAGUCAAAUUGCGGGGCUCAACCCCGUACUGCCGUUGAAACUGCAU
This 305-nucleotide ribosomal RNA is filed under the name uncultured bacterium. RNAcentral's name for it is "bacterial SSU rRNA". It matches the Rfam family "Bacterial small subunit ribosomal RNA", at positions 335 to 638 of the family's 1533-position model. The record is from RNAcentral.